ACUGGUGUUCGGGUUGUCAUGCCAAUGGCACUGCCCGGUAGCUAAAUGCGGAAGAGAUAAGUGCUGAAAGCAUCUAAGCACGAAACUUGCCCCGAGAUGAGUUCUCCCUGAGACUAUAAGUCUCCUGAAGGAACGUUGAAGACGACGACGUUGAUAGGUCGGGUGUGUAAGCGCAGCGAUGCGUUGAGCUAACCGAUACUAAUGAACCGUGAGGCUUAACCUUACAACGCCGAAGGUGUUU
This 241-nucleotide ribosomal RNA is filed under the name Enterobacter kobei. RNAcentral's name for it is "partial 23S ribosomal RNA". It matches the Rfam family "Bacterial large subunit ribosomal RNA", at positions 2708 to 2925 of the family's 2925-position model. Lineage: Bacteria; Pseudomonadati; Pseudomonadota; Gammaproteobacteria; Enterobacterales; Enterobacteriaceae. The record is from RNAcentral.